Molecule: unclassified non-coding RNA, 240 nt
Filed under: soil metagenome
Description: partial contains 5.8S ribosomal RNA, internal transcribed spacer 2, and large subunit ribosomal RNA
Source: RNAcentral
AACCUUAUGGACCUGCGGGCGUAUACCUGCGGAAGGAUCAUUACACAAUACAAUAUGAAGGCUGUCCGCAGCUGGAGUAUUUUAUUACCCUUGUCUUUUGCGCACUUGUUGUUUCCUGGGCGGGUUCGCUCGCCACCAGGACCACCAAAUAAACCUUUUUUAUGCAGUUGCAAUCAGCGUCAGUACAAACAAUGUAAAUCAUUUACAACUUUUAGCAAUGGAUCUCAGAUCGGAAGAGCA